CGAUUUUUUGACUUUUUCGACUGAUUUUUUUCCGGGAAAUAUUUUUUUAUAUUCAAUAACAGUGCCACAAAUAUGUAUGUAAAAUUUUAGAUCAAUCAGAAAACGUUUACCCACUCAAAUGAAUUUUUUUUUGAAAAUUUUUCUGGGUAAAACUGCUGUUUGUGCUUUUAAAAAAUUGAGAUCAGUUUAGAAAUCAACCAAGAACACCCAAAACGCCCAAAAUCUGAUACCAAAUGAUA
This 239-nucleotide long non-coding RNA is filed under the name Gossypium raimondii (Peruvian cotton). RNAcentral describes it as "long non-coding RNA (GRAI_LNC008311)". The record is from RNAcentral. Lineage: Eukaryota; Viridiplantae; Streptophyta; Magnoliopsida; Malvales; Malvaceae.